AUGCUUAAAAUUGAUCUGGCAAAAGCUUUUGAUCGUCUUGAGUGGAAUUUCAUUAUAUCGGCUUUAACGCGAAAAGGGUUGCAUAGUCAUUUCAUUCAUCUCAUCCAUGCAUGCAUAGCUACUCCUGUUUUCUCUGUUGUCAUUAAUGGUCAAUCUUAUGCGAGAUUCAGAAGUAGUAGAGGUAUAAGACAAGGAUGCCCUCUUUCACCUUAUUUGUUUGUCCUUGCCAUAAAUGAGCUCUCAAUAUCCUUGCAAGAAGCCAUGACAGCCAACCACUUGUCAGGUAUAUCUCUUGGACCUUAUUGCCCCCCAAUCCAUUCUCUCAUGUUUGCUGAUGAUCUCCUUGUUUGUGGUCUGGCCACGAUAGAGGAAGCUAAUACU
RNAcentral lists this ribosomal RNA (381 nucleotides) under Triticum aestivum (bread wheat). RNAcentral's name for it is "partial small subunit ribosomal RNA". Lineage: Eukaryota; Viridiplantae; Streptophyta; Magnoliopsida; Poales; Poaceae. The record is from RNAcentral.